RNAcentral lists this ribosomal RNA (1016 nucleotides) under uncultured bacterium. Its description in RNAcentral is "bacterial SSU rRNA". It matches the Rfam family "Bacterial small subunit ribosomal RNA", at positions 357 to 1376 of the family's 1533-position model. The record is from RNAcentral.
AGGAAUAUUGGUCAAUGGACGAGAGUCUGAACCAGCCAAGUAGCGUGAAGGAUGACUGCCCUAUGGGUUGUAAACUUCUUUUAUACGGGAAUAAAGUGAGGCACGUGUGCCUUUUUGUAUGUACCGUAUGAAUAAGGAUCGGCUAACUCCGUGCCAGCAGCCGCGGUAAUACGGAGGAUCCGAGCGUUAUCCGGAUUUAUUGGGUUUAAAGGGAGCGUAGGCGGACGCUUAAGUCAGUUGUGAAAGUUUGCGGCUCAACCGUAAAAUUGCAGUUGAUACUGGGUGUCUUGAGUACAGUAGAGGCAGGCGGAAUUCGUGGUGUAGCGGUGAAAUGCUUAGAUAUCACGAAGAACUCCGAUUGCGAAGGCAGCUUGCUGGACUGUAACUGACGCUGAUGCUCGAAAGUGUGGGUAUCAAACAGGAUUAGAUACCCUGGUAGUCCACACAGUAAACGAUGAAUACUCGCUGUUUGCGAUAUACAGUAAGCGGCCAAGCGAAAGCGUUAAGUAUUCCACCUGGGGAGUACGCCGGCAACGGUGAAACUCAAAGGAAUUGACGGGGGCCCGCACAAGCGGAGGAACAUGUGGUUUAAUUCGAUGAUACGCGAGGAACCUUACCCGGGCUUGAAUUGCAACUGAAUGAUGUGGAGACAUGUCAGCCGCAAGGCAGUUGUGAAGGUGCUGCAUGGUUGUCGUCAGCUCGUGCCGUGAGGUGUCGGCUUAAGUGCCAUAACGAGCGCAACCCUUAUCGAUAGUUACCAUCAGGUUAUGCUGGGGACUCUGUCGAGACUGCCGUCGUAAGAUGUGAGGAAGGUGGGGAUGACGUCAAAUCAGCACGGCCCUUACGUCCGGGGCUACACACGUGCUACAAUGGGGGGUACAGAAGGCAGCUACACGGCGACGUGAUGCUAAUCCCGAAAGCCUCUCUCAGUUCGGAUUGGAGUCUGCAACCCGACUCCAUGAAGCUGGAUUCGCUAGUAAUCGCGCAUCAGCCACGGCGCGGUGAAUACGUUCCCG